RNAcentral lists this ribosomal RNA (450 nucleotides) under uncultured bacterium. RNAcentral describes it as "partial 16S ribosomal RNA". It matches the Rfam family "Bacterial small subunit ribosomal RNA", at positions 354 to 796 of the family's 1533-position model. The record is from RNAcentral.
GUGGGGAAUUUUGGACAAUGGGCGCAAGCCUGAUCCAGCAAUGCCGCGUGCAGGAAGAAGGCCUUCGGGUUGCAAACUGCUUUUGUACGGAACGAAACGGUCCUGGUUAAUACCUGGGGCUAAUGACGGUACCGUAAGAAUAAGCACCGGCUAACUACGUGCCAGCAGCCGCGGUAAUACGUAGGGUGCGAGCGUUAAUCGGAAUUACUGGGCGUAAAGCGUGCGCAGGCGGUGCUGUAAGACAGGCGUGAAAUCCCCGGGCUCAACCUGGGAAUUGCGCUUGUGACUGCAGUGCUGGAGUACGGCAGAGGGGGAUGGAAUUCCGCGUGUAGCAGUGAAAUGCGUAGAUAUGCGGAGGAACACCGAUGGCGAAGGCAGUCCCCUGGGCCUGUACUGACGCUCAUGCACGAAAGCGUGGGGAGCAAACAGGAUUAGAUACCCGGGUAGUCC